GCUGCAGAGUGGACGAGAAUAUGGACUGUCAUUUCCUUCAUACAUGCCGGGUUAGACGGUUGCAUUUCAACGCGGCAGCUAAAAUUGCAGCGGUUGACUAAAUAUGGAUGUGCAGCCGCAACAUUAAAGAGGGAGACAUAAUUGAAGAACAUAACUACAGGACAUCCCAGAAUAAGGUUUUCUCUCUCAAGCCAGGAAUCCUCCCAUCAGACACAUGAAGUCAUAUUUUCACAGGAAGCUGAACUACAUCCAGAAAGCACUCGGUGUCAAAGGUUUGAUUUAAUUAAUUCAUUUAUUUAUAUUUGCUUGUUUUAAAAAUUUUCCUUUUAAGUUUCAUCCUCAUUAUUCGAUGACUCUGCACUUUCAAUAUAAUACUAUGCAGCCUAUAAAUUGACACGCAACAUGUUUCAG
Molecule: long non-coding RNA, 411 nt
Organism: Oreochromis niloticus (Nile tilapia)
Lineage: Eukaryota; Metazoa; Chordata; Actinopteri; Cichliformes; Cichlidae
Exons: 3
Source: RefSeq, a predicted model, not a curated record